CAGGGAAGAGAGAAUAGGAUUGAAGGAUGUUUCAGCUCGGGGUUUAGGAAGAAGAGCUAGACCUUUAGAUUGAGAAAGGGGAAGAGCCUCUGAGCCGGGAGGGGGUGGGGUGGGGAGAGGGAGGAAAGGGGGGCCCCCGAGGGGAAGGGGAGGAGAGGCUGAAGUGGAAACCUGCGCUCAGUUUGCCUGAAAGAGGCUGGCACUCUUGGUCACCUCAAUGUAUUGCCCUUCCCCCCUUUGUGAAGCAUCCAUCCUCAGACUGACGCCUGGGCAAGGGACAUGUCACAAAGGGAGGCAGUGCUUGAAUGGCUGGGAGGGAGGCAAAUUGGGGUCCUGGGAACCUAAUCCAUAUGAUCCAAGGACCUGCAUACACUGUGUGUUUAUGAGGUCUCUGUCUUCGGGCAGUUUAGAGUUGGGAAGACUUCUAAGCUAGCACACCGGAAGAGACACUGAGAAUGAGGGUGGUCCUUCCUGUGACGUCACUCCUUGCCAAAUGACUUCGAUAUAGUUACCCCAGCAACUUUCGUGAGGUUGAUAAGGCCCCGAAGCCACCUCAGCACACAACUCCAAGAAAACUGGAAGAUAAUAAAUCUGGUCAUUUAAAAAAAUUA
Molecule: non-coding RNA, 611 nt
Organism: Monodelphis domestica (gray short-tailed opossum)
Lineage: Eukaryota; Metazoa; Chordata; Mammalia; Didelphimorphia; Didelphidae
Source: RefSeq, a predicted model, not a curated record